UCGAGAAUCCUCGACAAUGGACGCAAGUCUGAUCGGGCGACGCCGCGUGUAGGAUGAAGGCCUUCGGGUUGUAAACUACUGUCACGGUACAGGAAGGCUCCCGCGAUAAUAUCAAGGGGGAUUGACCAUACCGAGAGGAAGCCACGGCUAACUCUGUGCCAGCAGCCGCGGUAAGACAGAGGUGGCAAGCGUUGUUCGGAAUUACUGGGCAUAAAGGGCGCGUAGGUGGUCAGAUAUGUCAGGGGUGAAAUCCCUCGGCCUAACCGAGGAAUUGCCUCUGAAACCAUCUGACUGGAGUGCAGGAGAGGAGAGUGGAACUCGAGGUGGAGCGGUGAAAUGCGUAGAUAUCUCGGGGAACGCCGGUGGCGAAAGCGGCUCUCUGGACUGUAACUGACACUGAGGCGCGAAAGCCAGGGGAGCAAACGGG
Molecule: ribosomal RNA, 427 nt
Filed under: uncultured bacterium
Lineage: Bacteria
Description: bacterial SSU rRNA
Rfam family: Bacterial small subunit ribosomal RNA
Source: RNAcentral